GAGGUAUUAGUAAAUAGAUUACAUCACUUUGUCAAGGUGAAAUUACAAGUUAAACUCUUGUAUAUCUUU
RNAcentral lists this transfer RNA (69 nucleotides) under Rhodeus shitaiensis. RNAcentral's name for it is "tRNA-Asp". It matches the Rfam family "tRNA". Rfam says of the family: Transfer RNA (tRNA) molecules are approximately 80 nucleotides in length. Their secondary structure includes four short double-helical elements and three loops (D, anti-codon, and T loops). Lineage: Eukaryota; Metazoa; Chordata; Actinopteri; Cypriniformes; Acheilognathidae. The record is from RNAcentral.